RNAcentral lists this long non-coding RNA (1060 nucleotides) under Vigna radiata. RNAcentral describes it as "long non-coding RNA (VRAD_LNC009602)". Lineage: Eukaryota; Viridiplantae; Streptophyta; Magnoliopsida; Fabales; Fabaceae. The record is from RNAcentral.
CAGGUUUCAACUCAGCAAUUGUUGCUACAUGUCCUGGCAGAACACCCAUCUGCCCAGUUGUUGCUGGUACAAUCACCAUGUCAACCUGUUGCACACAAAUUAUGUCACUUUUCAAGGAACAUCAUCAGUUAAGGAAUUUUCUCUUACUAAUAUCCAAAACUUGGAUUGGAUCAAACCAGUGAAUGUAAUACAUGGCAGAACAAGAAGAAAAAAAAAACAGAUAACCAUGGGUUAAAAGAAAUUCAGCUUGUAAUAGAUGAUAAGUUAAAAGAAAUUCAGCUUCUGCCAUGGGUUAAAAUCAACUUAUCACCUCAGGUUUAGGAGAAAGUGUCCACAAAAUUGAUUUGCUUCAUCUUCAUGAUGAGAAUUACAACAAGGAUAAGAAAUUGAGAAUGGCAUAUGAAUUAACCUAUAGUCUGAUCUGAAACGAGCAAACAAGCCCUUGGUGGACGAGAUUGGAAAAUUACAGCUAACACCAAAAAUUCUGAUUUCUCUGUUUAUUUGAUCCUUUUUCUUUCCGGACAGUCAAUAUGCCAUUGUAGGCCCACUUUUCAUGUCUACUAAAUGCAAUCACAUAUAGAACAAACUAAUAACAUUGUCUCAUGCAGCUAUAUUCCACUGCAUUUAACAACUUACAUCAAUUUAAUUAGAAGAGUCACACCCAGUUUAAUCUGACAACUUAAAAUUUACUUUUGAGACUACUGGGGUGCUUUGAAAUGUAGCCUGCUUAGAAUUUAUUCCUUGCAAUAAAGACCCGAGGAAGUAAUUUAUAAUAUAAUAAAAUUAUUAGACAUCAGUAUCUCAUUCAAUUAGAAGCCUCAUUAUGUUCCAUGAAAUCAAUUGUUUGGUUUUCUCUCUAUUGGUUCUUGUAGCACAUUAAUGUAUAGAGAUCGAUUACCCAAAGUCAAUCAAUGGUAGGGAUGGCCAAAUCCAAUCACCAAGUUUUCCUGCAUUUUACCAUUUUACACCUGGCUCAUCAUGUCAAAAGCCAAAAGUGCCAAGACACAAAUCUUGUUUUCUUUAGUUAUGCAAUAGGUUAUCAGCAAACAUACAUAACUAU